Molecule: long non-coding RNA, 491 nt
Organism: Harmonia axyridis
Lineage: Eukaryota; Metazoa; Arthropoda; Insecta; Coleoptera; Coccinellidae
Exons: 2
Source: RefSeq, a predicted model, not a curated record
UUAAUUUAUUAUUCGAUGAUGUUGUAGGUGAUAAAUCAAACUGAACGAUGAGAAAUGUUAUUUGAAGUGGUGUUGUGUUCUCUGUUUACAUUAGGAAAUAAAUAAAUCCAGUUGAGUGCAUUCAAACGAAUCCAUUCACCAACUGUCGAAAUAAAUAUUGGAGCGGACCACAGAAGUAUUUCCAAAAAUCGUCAAUGGGAAAAGAAUGCAGCGUUGAAAGAACGUGGCAAAACCAACGUGGAAUUUUCGUCUUAUCAAUUCAGAACGUCCUGUCUGCAUUUGUUUAUAUCGACAAUAUCGCUUCGAUAUAGAAUUUCUUCGCAUUUGGUCACGAUACCAAGAAUGAUGACGAUGCAGCCAUUCAGCCUAUCAAUGGAUGUUUUCAAGUUUAACAAGAGAAUUGGGCGGUAUUAUGUUGAAUUAUUUUGAAUUAAGUUACCUUAGGACAAUCUUUGAUGUAGUGUCCCUUUUGGAAACAUAGAUGGCACAGG